GAACGCACAUUGCGCCCCUUGGUAUUCCGAGGGGCAUGCCCGUUCGAGCGUCAUUAUAACCCCUCAAGCCCAGCUUGGUGUUGGGGCCUGCUGUUGCCGGCAACCCUUAAAAUCAGUGGCGGUGCCAUCUGGCUCUAAGCGUAGUAAUACUUCUCGCUACAGGGUCCCGGUGGAUGCCUGCCAUCAACCCCUAAAUUUCUAUGGUUGACCUCGGAUCGGGUAGGGAUACCCGCUGAACUUAAG
This 243-nucleotide unclassified non-coding RNA is filed under the name uncultured Leohumicola. RNAcentral describes it as "sequence contains 5.8S rRNA gene". The record is from RNAcentral. Lineage: Eukaryota; Fungi; Ascomycota; Leotiomycetes.